Molecule: non-coding RNA, 21 nt
Organism: Caenorhabditis elegans
Lineage: Eukaryota; Metazoa; Nematoda; Chromadorea; Rhabditida; Rhabditidae
Source: Ensembl
UUCGUACGUUGGAAGCUAAAU